CAGAAAAUGGACCAAGACCCAGUGUCACUGGCCAUUUUGUCCCUGCUCAGAGCAUCUCAGUCACUGAGACAGAGCUGAAAACUUCUGCUUUCUAUCUGAUGGCAGCUCUCACGGACGGCUGAAGCCCCUGAUGAGAAAACAAAGUCAAACUCCCGGUGCGGAUGUGAACACAUGGACUGCACGGCCUUCUCUGACAGACUCUUCGUGAAGCCAAGUUAGUUUAGGAAAGGAAAUCAGGACUUUCAAGUUCCAGGUCCAGCUCCUGUUGCGUGAGCCGAAUGAGUACAGCCUAUUCAUACGCUGUAAUGGCAACACUGCCGGGACUCCAGCUGGACUUCAAUCCCAGUGCCCACACGGAGGACACAGAAUUGGAGCCAUCAGAAACAGGAAAGAAAGGCAAAUGUGCAGUCAUCCGGGACUGAAGAAUGGGCGGUGUUGGGGAAAACAAUCUGAUCAACAAGGUUUGGAAGCAUUCCCAAGGCCAGGCAAAUCAGUA
Oryctolagus cuniculus (rabbit) is the source of this 496-nucleotide non-coding RNA. The record is from RefSeq and is a predicted model, not a curated record. Lineage: Eukaryota; Metazoa; Chordata; Mammalia; Lagomorpha; Leporidae.